Molecule: long non-coding RNA, 534 nt
Organism: Acanthopagrus latus (yellowfin seabream)
Lineage: Eukaryota; Metazoa; Chordata; Actinopteri; Spariformes; Sparidae
Exons: 4
Source: RefSeq, a predicted model, not a curated record
CGCAAAAUAAGACCCGCCCACGACUCAGGGAGUCGUUUCCCUUGUAAAGUUUAAAUGUUGCUGUCUGAUGUUGAUCUGAUCAGAACAGCGCUGCUCAGAGGACGUCAACAAGGAGUCUGGCCAGCACACUGAGGGUCCUUGAGAGACCUGAGGACUUUGACCUCGGCGUGGUGGAGCCUGAACAGAACGGUCCUGAACAGUCUCAGUGCCUCUCACAUCCCAGGUGAAAUGUGGGAUUUGUCUGCAGUGUUGCCGUGAGCGCUGCGCUGAGUUCAGUGUUCAGAGCUGUGCAGGAAGUUGACCAAGAAGCAGCUUCAAGUGGAGCGAACUCUGAGGAGAGGAACCUGGUCUCUGAGAGCAAACAAAGGUGAUGGAUGAGCAACAAGACGAACCACAACAGGAGCCUGAAACAGGAAAACUGAGUAUCUGAGUGUCCGUCCUCUGAUGACAACUCCUUCAUGUCAUGUUUGUUGAGUAGUUUCACUGGCUCAGCACUGUUGACUUUACGUAAUAAACCUUUUUUUUUUAAAAUUA